ACUCCUACGGGAGGCAGCAGUGGGGAAUAUUGCACAAUGGGCGCAAGCCUGAUGCAGCCAUGCCGCGUGUAUGAAGAAGGCCUUCGGGUUGUAAAGUACUUUCAGCAGUGAGGAAGGUGGGUAUGUUAAUAGCAUAUUCAUUUGACGUUAGCUGCAGAAGAAGCACCGGCUAACUCCGUGCCAGCAGCCGCGGUAAUACGGAGGGUGCGAGCGUUAAUCGGAAUUACUGGGCGUAAAGCGCAUGCAGGUGGUUUGUUAAGUCAGAUGUGAAAGCCCGGGGCUCAACCUCGGAAUUGCAUUUGAAACUGGCAAACUAGAGUACUGUAGAGGGGGGUAGAAUUUCAGGUGUAGCGGUGAAAUGCGUAGAGAUCUGAAGGAAUACCGGUGGCGAAGGCGGCCCCCUGGACAGAUACUGACACUCAGAUGCGAAAGCGUGGGGAGCAAACAGGAUUAGAUACCCUGGUAGCUACGAG
This 473-nucleotide ribosomal RNA is filed under the name uncultured bacterium. RNAcentral's name for it is "bacterial SSU rRNA". It matches the Rfam family "Bacterial small subunit ribosomal RNA", at positions 335 to 801 of the family's 1533-position model. The record is from RNAcentral.